UUGGUUCCGGUUCACCUCAACCCGCUGGUCAGCAGGAUCGGCGGCGAGGACCCGGCGGCC
This 60-nucleotide non-coding RNA is filed under the name unclassified sequences. RNAcentral's name for it is "L31-Actinobacteria ribosomal protein leader". It matches the Rfam family "L31-Actinobacteria ribosomal protein leader". The record is from RNAcentral.